GACGAACGCUGGCGGCGUGCUUAACGCAUGCAAGUCGAACGGAAAGGCCCUGCUUUUGUGGGGUGCUCGAGUGGCGAACGGGUGAGUAACACGUGAGUAACCUGCCCUUGACUUUGGGAUAACUUCAGGAAACUGGGGCUAAUACCGGAUAGGAGCUCCUGCUGCAUGGUGGGGUUGGAAAGUUUCGGCGGUUGGGGAUGGACUCGCGGCUUAUCAGCUUGUUGGUGGGGUAGUGGCUUACCAAGGCUUUGACGGGUAGCCGGCCUGAGAGGGUGACCGGCCACAUUGGGACUGAGAUACGGCCCAGACUCCUACGGGAGGCAGCAGUGGGGAAUAUUGCACAAUGGGCGGAAGCCUGAUGCAGCAACGCCGCGUGCGGGAUGACGGCCUUCGGGUUGUAAACCGCUUUCGCCUGUGACGAAGCGUGAGUGACGGUAAUGGGUAAAGAAGCACCGGCUAACUACGUG
RNAcentral lists this ribosomal RNA (467 nucleotides) under uncultured bacterium. RNAcentral's name for it is "partial 16S ribosomal RNA". It matches the Rfam family "Bacterial small subunit ribosomal RNA", at positions 28 to 507 of the family's 1533-position model. The record is from RNAcentral.